ACCUUGAGGAUUGCCACCAUCUGCUUGUGCUCUUAUUCUGGUAUAAUGAUCAGAUAUAUUCAUAAUAACUAAAGGAUGAAGUUGAACACAAACACUCCUUGUAUUUCCCACAGAUGACACAACAACACUCUCUUUGCCCGCCAUCUUGAAAUUUUCUUAACUAAUUAGCUAGUUUCCAGUUUUCGCAAAAUCUCGCACAACAUGGCUGACUCAGGAGUGGAUAAAAGAAAAAUAAAAGGUAAAUUCUUCUUGACUUGCAAUGAUGUGGGCGACGGUCAUG
Molecule: non-coding RNA, 280 nt
Organism: Paramuricea clavata
Lineage: Eukaryota; Metazoa; Cnidaria; Anthozoa; Malacalcyonacea; Plexauridae
Source: the annotation of a GenBank genome assembly